Eubalaena glacialis (North Atlantic right whale) is the source of this 501-nucleotide long non-coding RNA. RefSeq lists it as uncharacterized. The transcript is spliced from 4 exons. Lineage: Eukaryota; Metazoa; Chordata; Mammalia; Artiodactyla; Balaenidae. The record is from RefSeq and is a predicted model, not a curated record.
GGUCAGGGAUGCUUGGAGAACACCUCACACCGGUCCUCAAGAUCUUUCCUGAGAUCCUCUAAGGCUUGAAGACAUCUAAUUCCAAUUGAAGUAACUGCAUGGGGAAAAACAAGAGCAGCAACAACAAACAGCUUCACUCUUCUGGGUGGAAACAUGCAGUUGUACCAAGAGAGGCCGGUUCUCCUUCUCUCACAUAGCACUGAACAGAUGAGGAUAAGCUGACACCCCAACUGAUGAUCCCCAGGCUGAAAGGAAUGGGUAGCCUGGCUGUGAUUUUUGGAUACGUGGCACACUUCAAGAUUACUGUGUUGUUCAAAUUAACCUGUUGGAAUGCACCUUUCCUCGACGACAUUUCCUUGAACUCCGAAUGAGAGCAGUGCAGGAGGAUCCCCAACUUAAGGACUGGCUGUAUUUCAAAGGUCAUCUCUAAGUCUGAAUGUUUCCACAAGAUAAAAAAUUCCAAGAUAUUCUUAAGUCCAAUAUUAUAAAUAGUUAUUAGUU